UAAUUCCCAUUCCCAGUAAUUCCUCUCAUCUCAGCAACCAACCCGACCCACUUCCCUUUUAUCCCCUUCAGUGAGCAACGCGAAAUUGCAACGUGCAUCAGACAUGUGAACUCCACCACUCGACCAAAACGCCCCGUCUUCUUCAUGCGCGAGCCACUAAAAGCAGCAGCAAGGAACGCACAAUGAUCUCAACGGUAUCAUCGUCUCUUUCGCCAUUUAUUUGCCUGGCAAGGGCUUCCUGAUUUCUCUAGCCUUGCAGAAUCGUCCUUGGGUGUCGGAGAUGUCUCCACGUCUCCCCCAAGGACGAUUGGAUCGAUCAAAAUCGUCCAUUUCCCCUUUCCAUUUUUGGAACAGUUUCAGAGCUUCAGAAAAAGCUUGUCUUCCCAAAGUGGUGAAAGAAACAUUUGAAUUUCAAAUUCGGACUCAAGUUCUGUCCAAGAUUCUCACCCUUCCCCCCUCUUUUUCUUUGUCAAAAUCCUAGCCCUUGGCUAUAUAUGAUCGCUUCGGUCCUUUUGGGGGAGGGAGAUAUUUCUUUAGCUGCCGUUAGAGAGAAAAUAUACAGUAAGAAUCACUAGUUAUACAAUUAUUACAAAUAAACACUUGAGGAAUAGGUCUUAGAAAUCACAGAGAGUAAGAGUUAAGACUCCCGCUUGUUUCUUCACCCACGAGAGUUCAUCGGAGUCGCGACUUGGUGGUGGAGGGAUCGGCCUCAUAGCUAGCUCGUUCGUCCGUCCGAUUCGCUGCCCUCGUAAAAGUUUAUGAAGCUCUUCCUUUGCAUUCCAUCAACUCCUUUCAUCGAGUCGGCCAUCAUGGUAAAUUAGGAAUCAGGUGUACAGGUUGAAAAUUGGCAAAUCCGAACGAAAAAAUAAUUUUCAAGUUCUGGAAAUGUGAAAACAAGAUGAAAAUAUGUCUUGUAUACAUCCUUAUACAGUGAUAUACGCGACAGAACGGCAAUAUACAGGUGCAAACGGAGUGGAAACUCAGGAAAAAUUACAUGAAAUAUAGGUAAACAAAAUGGAGGCUUUAAAGGUUCAAAAAUGGGUCGGAAACGUCCUAUAUUACAGCGUAUUCUUAAUGUGUAUACACAGAUUUCUUUGAAGGAAAUAGGCCUAAAGGCCCUGAAAA
Solanum pennellii is the source of this 1125-nucleotide long non-coding RNA. RefSeq lists it as uncharacterized. Lineage: Eukaryota; Viridiplantae; Streptophyta; Magnoliopsida; Solanales; Solanaceae. The transcript has 2 exons. The record is from RefSeq and is a predicted model, not a curated record.